UGGGGAAUAUUGCACAAUGGAGGGAACUCUGAUGCAGCGACGCCGCGUGAACGAAGAAGGCUUUCGAGUCGUAAAGUUCUUUUAUAUGGGAAGAUAAUGACGGUACCAUAAGAAAAAGCCCCGGCUAACUACGUGCCAGCAGCCGCGGUAAUACGUAGGGGGCUAGCGUUGUCCGGAAUCACUGGGCGUAAAGGGUUCGCAGGCGGAAAUGCAAGUCAGGUGUAAAAGGCAGUAGCUUAACUACUGUAAGCAUUUGAAACUGCAUAUCUUGAGAAGAGUAGAGGUAAGUAGAAUUUUUAGUGUAGCGGUGAAAUGCGUAGAUAUUAAAAAGAAUACCGGUGGCGAAGGCGACUUACUGGGCUCAUUCUGACGCUGAGGAACGAAAGCGUGGGUAGCAAACAGG
RNAcentral lists this ribosomal RNA (403 nucleotides) under bacterium. RNAcentral's name for it is "partial 16S ribosomal RNA". It matches the Rfam family "Bacterial small subunit ribosomal RNA", at positions 355 to 776 of the family's 1533-position model. RNAcentral also lists the same sequence under 2 other names. The record is from RNAcentral.